RNAcentral lists this unclassified non-coding RNA (237 nucleotides) under Gongylonema nepalensis. Its description in RNAcentral is "ITS2". Lineage: Eukaryota; Metazoa; Nematoda; Chromadorea; Rhabditida; Gongylonematidae. The record is from RNAcentral.
CAAGCAAAAGAAAAGAGAAUAUAUCAUCUCAGAAUGAAUUUGAACAAAAACCAUCGUCAGGUAAUGAUGGUUGCUGCUAUAUUUCCCUGAUCAGUUUAUGCUAUUAUGAUGUUGUACGGGGCAACAACAAUUCAAAUAGCAACUCUAUCCUAUUUCUACUACUACAACAAAGAAAGAAAAUUUAUACGUAUGUAGUAGAGAAAAGAAUGUGGUGGUGGUGCAUCAAAACUGAAAAUU